Molecule: long non-coding RNA, 647 nt
Organism: Calypte anna (Anna's hummingbird)
Lineage: Eukaryota; Metazoa; Chordata; Aves; Apodiformes; Trochilidae
Exons: 3
Source: RefSeq, a predicted model, not a curated record
CUCACCAUACCCCACCUGGGGUGCAGGGAUGCACAUCUUGGUGUCUACUGGUGGUGAGACAGAGUUUAAUUUGACACAAGCAGGGGCAUGGCUUGGGAUGCAGCUGAGUGUGGCUUAUUGGUUUCACUGGGAGCAGAGAAGGAUUGGAGCAACCUCCACACCCCGGUCAGACACACACCACCGCUCUGUUGACUUAGCAGCUGCUACUGACAGGAGAACUGAUAAAGCUCUUGGAGAUAUUCCUGUCUCAUCUGUCUCGGUGAUUGCUUGCCCAUGGAGGUGCCUAUGAGGAUGACGAGCAGAGCACAUCCAGAGAAUGCACAGUUCUUGCCCCGAGCUGGGCUCUGCUACCUGUUCUGGUGCUGGCUCAUUCCCCCAAGUACUGCCAGGAAUCCAGAGGGGAAUUCCACCACAGCCUGGCAGGGCUGCCAGCACCUGCCUCAUGGCACUUCGGAAGUGUACCUAGGGAGGAGCCUCUUCCCAGCACCAGCAGUUUUUAUCCAAUAAGUAUGCAAAUCUCAGCAUAUUCCCGACGUUUCCUUCAGGCUCCAGAGGCUGCACGUGGCCUCGGAGGCUGGAUUCUACUGGUCAGUGGAAAUGCGGCUUACUCUGAAGAGGAUGCAGAAAGUGAAGUAUCAGAAAUACAG